UCUGGGAAAAAUCCGGGAAAAAUCUGGGAAAAUUUGGGGUUUUGGGGGGGUUUUAGGGGGAUUUUUGGGGAUUAUGGGGUUUUUUUUGUGAGAUUUUGGGGUUUUUGGGGGGGAUUUGGAGAGGGAUUCACCUGGAAUAUCCCUGGAUUCCCAAAAUUCCAUGGAAUUCUCUGGAAUUCCCAAAAAAACCCCAAAAAUUUUGGGGUUUUGGGGGGGGUUUUAGGGGGAUUUUUGGGGUUUUUUGGUGAAAUUUGGGGGUUUUUGGGGGGAUUUGGAGAGGGAUUCACCUGGAAUGUCCCUGGAUUCCCAGAAUUCCCCAAAUUCCAUGGAAUUCUCUGGAAUUCUCAAAAAAAUCCACCAAAAUUUGGGGUUUGGGGAGGUUUUAGGGGGAUUUUUGGGGGAUUUUUGGGGUUUUUAGGGGGGAUUUUGGGGUUUUUGGGGGGGAUUUGGAGAUGGAUUCACCUGGAAUUUUCUGGAUUCCCAGAAUUCCCAAAAUUCCAUGGAAUUUUCCCGAAUUUUCUCCCCCCAGGACGGGUCCCUGAGCCGGGAGGAGAUUUUGGGGAGUUGGGAGCUUUUCGUGGGGAGCCGAGCCACGGACUACGGGCAGGACCUGCACAGGGCCCACGACGAGCUCUGAGAGCCCCAAAAAUUCCCAAAAAAUUCCCAAAAUAUCCCCAAAACAUUCCCAAAAUAUCCCAAAAAUAUUCCCAAAAAAUCCCUGGAAAUAUUCCCAAAAAAAUCCUGUCCUCACCUGAAAAAAUCCGGGAUUUUUGGGGGAAAAUUUGGGGGAAUAAAUGGAAUUUUGGUGAGUCCACAACCCCCAAAAAAUUCCCAAAAUAUCCCAAAAUAUCCCAAAAAUAUUCCCAAAAAAUCCCUGGAAAUAUUCCCAAAAAGUCCCAAAAAAUUCCCAAAAAAACCCCUCAAAAAUUCCCAAUAAAUUCCAAUAAAUUCCUGGAAAAAAAAUUGGGUAUUUGGGGAGUGAAAUUGGGAAUUUCAGGAGGGAAAAAUUGGGGAUUUUGGGGAGGGGAAAAAUGGGAAUUUUGGGGGAAAAAUUGGGAAUUUGGGGGGGGGAAAUUGGGAUUUUUAAGGCGGAAAAAAUGGGAAUUUUUGGGGGGAAAAAUUGGAUUUUGAGGGGGAGAAAAAUUGGGGAUUUUGGGGGGAAAAAUGGGAAUUUAGGGAAGGGAAAUUGGGAAUUUUUGGGAGGGAAAAAAUGGGAAUUUUUGGGAAAAAAAAAGGGAAUUUUGGGGGGAAAAAUUGGAAUUUUGGGGGGGAAAAAUGGGGAUUUG
Molecule: long non-coding RNA, 1286 nt
Filed under: Cyanistes caeruleus (blue tit)
Lineage: Eukaryota; Metazoa; Chordata; Aves; Passeriformes; Paridae
Description: lncRNA (ENSCCEG00000013766.1)
Source: RNAcentral